CGCACCUUGCGCUCCUUGGUAUUCCGAGGAGCAUGCCUGUUUGAGUGUCGUGAAAUCAUCAACUCCUUGGAGUUGGAAUUGAGGGUCUGUCGGCUCUAACGAGUUGGCUCCCUUUAAAUCGAUCUGAUAGUGAAUGUCUGUCGUCUGACGUGAUAAAUGUCUCGUCUCGCAACAGGUGCUUCCACUUCUUUGACUUUUUGACCUCAAAUCAGGUAGGACUACCCGCUGAACUUAA
RNAcentral lists this unclassified non-coding RNA (235 nucleotides) under Agaricomycetes sp. RNAcentral describes it as "partial contains 5.8S ribosomal RNA, internal transcribed spacer 2, and large subunit ribosomal RNA". Lineage: Eukaryota; Fungi; Basidiomycota; Agaricomycetes. The record is from RNAcentral.